Molecule: ribosomal RNA, 873 nt
Filed under: uncultured bacterium
Lineage: Bacteria
Description: bacterial SSU rRNA
Rfam family: Bacterial small subunit ribosomal RNA
Source: RNAcentral
GGCUCAGAAUCAACGCUGGCGGCGUGCCUCAGACAUGCAAGUCGAACGAUUAAAGCUCUCUUCGGAGAGUGCAUAGAGUGGCGCACGGGUGAGUAACACGUAAGUAAUCUACCCUCGAGUGGGGAAUAACGUCCGGAAACGGACGCUAAUACCGCAUAAUGCAGCGGCACCGCAAGGUGACAGUUGUUAAAGAUUUAUCGCUUGAGGAGGAGCUUGCGGCAGAUUAGCUAGUUGGUAAGGUAAUGGCUUACCAAGGCUACGAUCUGUAACCGGUCUAAGAGGACGGUCGGUCACACUGACACUGAAUAACGGGUCAGACUCCUACGGGAGGCAGCAGUCGGGAAUUUUGGGCAAUGGGCGAAAGCCUGACCCAGCAACGCCGCGUGAAGGAUGAAGUAUUUCGGUAUGUAAACUUCGAAAGAAUAGGAAGAAUAAAUGACGGUACUAUUUAUAAGGUCCGGCUAACUACGUGCCAGCAGCCGCGGUAAUACGUAGGGACCAAGCGUUGUUCGGAUUUACUGGGCGUAAAGGGCGCGUAGGCGGCGUGGUAAGUCACUUGUGAAAUCUCUGAGCUUAACUCAGAACGGCCAAGUGAUACUGCUGUGCUAGAGUGCGGAAGGGGCAAUCGGAAUUCUUGGUGUAGCGGUGAAAUGCGUAGAUAUCAAGAGGAACACCUGAGGUGAAGACGGGUUGCUGGGCCGACACUGACGCUGAUGCGCGAAAGCCAGGGGAGCAAACGGGAUUAGAUACCCCGGUAGUCCUGGCCCUAAACGAUGAAUACUUGGUGUCUGGAGUCUUUAAUGCUCCGGGUGCCGUCGCUAACGUUUUAAGUAUUCCGCCUGGGGAGUACGCUCGCAAGAGUAAAACUCAAAU